This 433-nucleotide ribosomal RNA is filed under the name uncultured bacterium. RNAcentral's name for it is "partial 16S ribosomal RNA". It matches the Rfam family "Bacterial small subunit ribosomal RNA", at positions 29 to 507 of the family's 1533-position model. The record is from RNAcentral.
AACGAACGCUGGCGGCAUGCCUAACACAUGCAAGUCGAACGAUACCUUCGGGUCUAGUGGCGCACGGGUGCGUAACGCGUGGGAACCUGCCCUUAGGUUCGGAAUAACUCCCCGAAAGGGGUGCUAAUACCGGAUAAUGUCUUCGGACCAAAGAUUUAUCGCCUUUGGAUGGGCCCGCGUUGGAUUAGCUAGUUGGUAUGGUAAAAGCCUACCAAGGCGAAGAUCCAUAGCUGGUCUGAGAGGAUGAUCAGCAACACUGGGACUGAGACACGGCCCAGACUCUUACGGGAGGAAGCAGUGGGGAAUAUUGGACAAUGGGCGAAAGACUGAUCCAGCAAUGCCGCGUGAGUGAUGAAGGCCUUAGGGUUGUAAAGCUCUUUUAACCGGGAUGAUAAUGACAGUACCGGGAGAAUAAGCGCCGGCUAACUCCGUG